Molecule: long non-coding RNA, 1510 nt
Organism: Mesocricetus auratus (golden hamster)
Lineage: Eukaryota; Metazoa; Chordata; Mammalia; Rodentia; Cricetidae
Exons: 3
Source: RefSeq, a predicted model, not a curated record
CUUAGGUCUAGCGUGGCGCUCACUCUCCUGCUGCUGCCUGUGGACCAAGAUGCAGAGUUAUCGGCUCCUUCUCCAGCAUGUCUACCAUGUCCCACCGUGACGCUAGGACUACACCCCUGAAACUGGAAGACAGCCCCACAAAAGUGAAGAUGUCUCUAUCCACUGUACUCUAUUCCCACCACCCACACUGACCACAUGCUGGACCAGUGGACAAGGACACAUCAUUAUUGCCUCACCCACACUGACCACAUGAUGGACCAAUGGACAAGGCCACAUCAUUAUUGCCACCACUCAUGCUUACUGCCAUCACCCACACUGACCACAUGAUGGACCAAUGGACAAGGACACAUCAUUAUUGCCACCACUCAUGCUUACUGCCACCAUCCACGCUGACCACAUGCUGGACCAGUGGACAAGGCCACAUCAUUAUUGCCAUCACCCACACUGACCACAUGAUGGACCAAUGGACAAGGACACAUCAUUAUUGCCACCACUCAUGCUUACUGCCACCAUCCAUGCUGACCACAUGCUGGACCAAUGGACAAAGCCACAUCAUUAUUGCCACCAUCCACGCUGACCACAUGCUGGACCAAUAGACAAGGCCACAUCAUUAUUGCCACCAUUCAUGUUGACCACAUGAUGGACCAAUGGACAAAGCCACAUCAUUAUUGCCACCAUCCACACUGACCACAUGCUGGACCAAUAGACAAGGCCACAUCAUUAUUGCCACCAUCCACGCUGACCACAUGCUGGACCAAUGGACAAGGACACAUCAUUAUUGCCACCAUCCACGCUGACCACAUGCUGGACCAAUGGACAAGGACACAUCAUUAUUGCCACCACCCAUGCUGGCCACAUGCUGGACCAAUGGACAAGGACACAUCAUUAUUGCCACCACCCAUGCUGACCACAUGCUGGACCAAUGGACAAGGCCACAUUUUUCAGCAUCCCAGAGACCAAGCAAUGAGACCAUCGACACGACAAACCGGAGAAGCCAGUAGCAGCCCCACUGAUUGAUGCUCAGGCCGGUUUAAUCAACGCCUCCAGCUCCAACACUGAGCACGGCAGUGUGAGGACCACAUCUGUUCAGACUGGCUCUGGAGGCUCAGCAUGGCCGUUUCUCAGAAACACCAGAUCUGACGGACCUGGGGCCCGUCCAGACUGCUGUUGCAGCUGGUGGCCCUCCUGGGUGCUCUCGCUGUGAGGAUGUCACUGGGAGAUAACUAAUUCAAGAAAUCAAAGGCACGCCAUACCAACCAAGCACAUGUUAACUGUCUGCGGUUUCUAAUUUUGUUUGUGUUUAUAGGCUCACGGCUAGGUGGAGAGGUGGCUUUUGUCUUUAAUCCCAGCACCCAGGAGGCAGAGGCAGGUGGAUCUCUUGUGAAUCUGAGGCCAGCCUGGUCUACAGAUCGAGUUCCAGAACAGCCGGGGUUACACAAAGAAACCCUGUCUCAAACAAACAUACAAACAAAUAAUAAAGAAUAAACUCCAUGAAUUCAUGCAUACUUAA